AGGUCAUUUUGUGGGUAAUUCCUAAAUAGACCUUUGUAGCCCUCCCAUGCUUUGAAUAAAGACUCUCCCGCUUGUUGCUCAAAAUUGGCAAUGACCUUCUUGAGUUA
This is a small nucleolar RNA of Lactuca sativa (garden lettuce), 107 nucleotides long. Lineage: Eukaryota; Viridiplantae; Streptophyta; Magnoliopsida; Asterales; Asteraceae. The record is from RefSeq and is a predicted model, not a curated record.